Molecule: long non-coding RNA, 277 nt
Organism: Rosa chinensis
Lineage: Eukaryota; Viridiplantae; Streptophyta; Magnoliopsida; Rosales; Rosaceae
Exons: 3
Source: RefSeq, a predicted model, not a curated record
AAUCUGCCUAUACAUGCCUCUUCCUCAUCCUCUCUAUCAGCAAGGCAAUUGCUCAGAGAACAACAGGAUGAUGAGUAUCUUGCAUCCCACUUAGCUGAUAAAGAGAAAGAAAUGAAUGUUGUCCAUGAAGCUGCAACUUGUCAGUUGAAGGGAGAUGUCAACAAAAGAAUCGAGCCAAUGGAAUUUGAGAGAAGGCUAGAUGCAAAAAGUGCUUCACUUCCUUGUGAACCAGCACCAGAUGAUGAGAAUGCUGUGACUCUUCUUGUUCGGAUGCCAA